GGCGAACGGGUGAGUAACACGUGAGUAACCUGCCCUUGACUCUGGGAUAAGCCUGGGAAACUGGGUCUAAUACCGGAUACGACCAUCUGGCGCAUGUCAUGGUGGUGGAAAGCUUUUGUGGUUUUGGAUGGACUCGCGGCCUAUCAGCUUGUUGGUGGGGUAAUGGCCUACCAAGGCGACGACGGGUAGCCGGCCUGAGAGGGUGACCGGCCACACUGGGACUGAGACACGGCCCAGACUCCUACGGGAGGCAGCAGUGGGGAAUAUUGCACAAUGGGCGCAAGCCUGAUGCAGCGACGCCGCGUGAGGGAUGACGGCCUUCGGGUUGUAAACCUCUUUCAGUAGGGAAGAAGCGAAAGUGACGGUACCUGCAGAAGAAGCGCCGGCUAACUACGUGCCAGCAGCCGCGGUAAUACGUAGGGCGCAAGCGUUAUCCGGAAUUAUUGGGCGUAAAGAGCUCGUAGGCGGUUUGUCGCGUCUGCUGUGAAAGACCGGGGCUCAACUCCGGUUCUGCAGUGGGUACGGGCAGACUAGAGUGCAGUAGGGGAGACUGGAAUUCCUGGUGUAGCGGUGAAAUGCGCAGAUAUCAGGAGGAACACCGAUGGCGAAGGCAGGUCUCUGGGCUGUAACUGACGCUGAGGAGCGAAAGCAUGGGGAGCGAACAGGAUUAGAUACCCUGGUAGUCCAUGCCGUAAACGUUGGGCACUAGGUGUGGGGGACAUUCCACGUUUUCCGCGCCGUAGCUAACGCAUUAAGUGCCCCGCCUGGGGAGUACGGCCGCAAGGCUAAAACUCAAAGGAAUUGACGGGGGCCCGCACAAGCGGCGGAGCAUGCGGAUUAAUUCGAUGCAACGCGAAGAACCUUACCAAAGGCUUGACAUGAACCGGAAAGACCUGGAAACAGGUGCCCCGCUUGCGGUCGGGUUUACAGGUGGUGCAUGGUGUCGUCAGCUCGUGUCGUGAGAUGUUGGGUUAAGUCCCGCAACGAGCGCAACCCUCGUUCUAUGUUGCCAGCGCGUUAUGGCGGGGACUCAUAGGAGACUG
This 1043-nucleotide ribosomal RNA is filed under the name Paenarthrobacter nitroguajacolicus. Its description in RNAcentral is "bacterial SSU rRNA". It matches the Rfam family "Bacterial small subunit ribosomal RNA", at positions 97 to 1151 of the family's 1533-position model. Lineage: Bacteria; Bacillati; Actinomycetota; Actinomycetes; Micrococcales; Micrococcaceae. The record is from RNAcentral.